CAAGUCGAGCGGAGCAUGAGGUGCUUGCACCUUAUCUUAGCGGCGGACGGGUGAGUANNGCUUAGGAAUCUGCCUAUUAGUGGGGGACAACAUUCCGAAAGGAAUGCUAAUACCGCAUACGUCCUACGGGAGAAAGCAGGGGAUCUUCGGACCUUGCGCUAAUAGAUGAGCCUAAGUCGGAUUAGCUAGUUGGUGGGGUAAAGGCCUACCAAGGCGACGAUCUGUAGCGGGUCUGAGAGGAUGAUCCGCCACACUGGGACUGAGACACGGCCCAGACUCCUACGGGAGGCAGCAGUGGGGAAUAUUGGACAAUGGGGGAAACCCUGAUCCAGCCAUGCCGCGUGUGUGAAGAAGGCCUUAUGGUUGUAAAGCACUUUAAGCGAGGAGGAGGCUACUGAGACUAAUACUCUUGGAUAGUGGACGUUACUCGCAGAAUAAGCACCGGCUAACUCUGUGCCAGCAGCCGCGGUAAUACAGAGGGUGCGAGCGUUAAUCGGAUUUACUGGGCGUAAAGCGUGCGUAGGCGGCUUUUUAAGUCGGAUGUGAAAUCCCCGAGCUUAACUUGGGAAUUGCAUUCGAUACUGGGAAGCUAGAGUAUGGGAGAGGAUGGUAGAAUUCCAGGUGUAGCGGUGAAAUGCGUAGAGAUCUGGAGGAAUACCGAUGGCGAAGGCAGCCAUCUGGCCUAAUACUGACGCUGAGGUACGAAAGCAUGGGGAGCAAACAGGAUUAGAUACCCUGGUAGUCCAUGCCGUAAACGAUGUCUACUAGCCCGUUGGGGCCUUUGAGGCUUUAGUGGCGCAGCUAACGCGAUAAGUAGACCGCCUGGGGAGUACGGUCGCAAGACUAAAACUCAAAUGAAUUGACGGGGGCCCGCACAAGCGGUGGAGCAUGUUGGUUUAUUUCGAUGCAACGCGAAAAACCCUUACCUGGCCUUGACAU
Molecule: ribosomal RNA, 939 nt
Filed under: Acinetobacter junii
Lineage: Bacteria; Pseudomonadati; Pseudomonadota; Gammaproteobacteria; Moraxellales; Moraxellaceae
Description: bacterial SSU rRNA
Rfam family: Bacterial small subunit ribosomal RNA
Source: RNAcentral